UACGGAGGGUGCAAGCGUUAUCCGGAUUCACUGGGUUUAAAGGGUGCGUAGGUGGGUAUGUAAGUCAAUGGUGAAAUCCCCGAGCUUAACUUGGGAACUGCCGUUGAUACUAUAUAUCUUGAAUGCUGUGGAGGUAAGCGGAAUAUGUCAUGUAGCGGUGAAAUGCUUAGAUAUGACAUAGAACACCAAUUGCGAAGGCAGCUCGCUACACGAAUAUUGACUCUGAGGCACGAAAGCGUGGGGAUCAAACAGG
This 253-nucleotide ribosomal RNA is filed under the name uncultured prokaryote. Its description in RNAcentral is "partial 16S ribosomal RNA". It matches the Rfam family "Bacterial small subunit ribosomal RNA", at positions 524 to 776 of the family's 1533-position model. The record is from RNAcentral.